UACGGAGGGUGCAAGCAUUGCUCGGAAUUACUGGGCGUAAAGGGCGCGUAGGCGGCAGGCUAAGUCGGAUGUGAAAUUCCGGGGCUCAACCCCGGAGCGGCAUUUGAAACUGUCUAGCUAGAGUGCAGUUAGGGUAAACGGAAUUCCACGUGCAGCGGUGAAAUGCGUAGAUAUGUGGAAGAACACCGGUGGUGAAGACGGUUUACUGGGCUGUAACUGACGCUGAGGCGCGAGAGCAUGGGGAGCAAACAGG
Molecule: ribosomal RNA, 253 nt
Filed under: uncultured bacterium
Lineage: Bacteria
Description: partial 16S ribosomal RNA
Rfam family: Bacterial small subunit ribosomal RNA
Source: RNAcentral